UACGUAGGGUGCGAGCGUUAACCGGAAUUACUGGGCGUAAAGCGUGCGCAGGCGGUUCGUUGUGUCCGUCGUGAAAGCCCCGGGCUCAACCUGGGAAUGGCCGUUGAAACUGGCGAACUGGAGUGUGGCAGAGGGGGGUGGAAUUCCGCGUGUAGCAGUGAAAUGCGUAGAGAUGCGGAGGAACACCGAUGGCGAAGGCAGCCCCCUGGGCUAACACUGACGCUCAGGCACGAAAGCGUGGGGAGCAAACAGG
Molecule: ribosomal RNA, 253 nt
Filed under: uncultured bacterium
Lineage: Bacteria
Description: partial 16S ribosomal RNA
Rfam family: Bacterial small subunit ribosomal RNA
Source: RNAcentral